This 400-nucleotide ribosomal RNA is filed under the name uncultured bacterium. Its description in RNAcentral is "bacterial SSU rRNA". It matches the Rfam family "Bacterial small subunit ribosomal RNA", at positions 30 to 430 of the family's 1533-position model. The record is from RNAcentral.
AUUGAACGCUGGCGGCAUGCCUUACACAUGCAAGUCGAACGGCAGCACGGGGGCAACCCUGGUGGCGAGUGGCGAACGGGUGAGUAACAUAUCGGAACAUACCCUAGAGUGGGGGAUAACGUAGCGAAAGUUACGCUAAUACCGCAUACGAUCUAAGGAUGAAAGUGGGGGAUCUUCGGACCUCAUGCUCAUGGAGUGGCCGAUAUCUGAUUAGCUAGUUGGUGAGGUAAAGGCUCACCAAGGCGACGAUCAGUAGCUGGUUUGAGAGAACGACCAGCCACACUGGAACUGAGACACGGUCCAGACUCCUACGGAGGCAGCAGUGGGAUUUUGGACAAUAGGGGCAACCCUGAUCCAGCAAUGACCGCGUGAGUGAAGAAGGCCUUACGGGUUCGUUAAA